GAAGUAAAAGUCGUAACAAGGUUUCCGUAGGUGAACCUGCGGAAGGAUCAUUACCAAAACCCUGGUUGUCCCGCUGAAAAGCUCGACGCCUGAACCCCUUGUGAACCAAAACAACCUUUCGCUUCGGCAGCAGCAGCGGUCUGGGUACCCUCCCAGCCCGCGGCUUAAGCCUGCCGGUGGCACCACACAACCAAACUUGCAAACUAAAAACCUGUCUGACAACCAUAUUUUCGAAUGAAAAUUAAAACUUUCAACAACGGAUCUCUUGGUUCCCGCAUCGAUGAAGAACGCAGCGAAACGCGAUAGUUAAUGUGAAUUGCAGAAUUCAGUGAAUCAUCGAGUCUUUGAACGCACAUUGCGCCCAUCGGUAUUCCGUUGGGCAUGUCUGUUUGAGCGUCAUUACAACCCUCGGCACCAGUCGGUCGUGAGCUCCGCCGGGCGUGACAGCCCGGUUGGCUUUAAAGUUGUAAGCUCUGCUGGCCUCCGCGCCCAACCGAGACAUAGUAAGCCUACUUGUCAGAGGUGAGCGCGGUUUGGUUCGGCCUGAACAAAACCUACCACAUUCUAAGGUUUGACCUCAGAUCAGACAAGGAUACCCGCUGAACUUAAGCAUAUCAAUAAGCGGAGGAAAAGAAACCAACAGGGAUUGCCUCAGUAACGGCGAGUGAAGCGGCAACAGCUCAAAUUUGAAAUCUGGAGCCCUCGGCUUCCGAGUUGUAAUUUGAAGAGGAUGUUUCGGUCGUGGCCUGGGCCUAAGUUCCUUGGAACAGGACGUCAUUGAGGGUGAGAAUCCCGUACAUGGCUCCCGGCUUGCGAUCAUGUGAAGCUCCUUCGAAGAGUCGAGUUGUUUGGGAAUGCAGCUCAAAAUGGGUGGUAAAUUUCAUCUAAAGCUAAAUAUUGGCGGGAGACCGAUAGCGCACAAGUAGAGUGAUCGAAAGAUGAAAAGCACUUUGAAAAGAGAGUUAAACAGUACGUGAAAUUGUUGAAAGGGAAGCGCUUGCAAUCAGACUCGCUUGCGGUUGAUCAACGUUCCUUCUGGUGCGUGCACUCUGCCGUUGGCGGGCCAGCAUCGGUUGGGGCGGCGGGACAAAGGCGGCGGGAAUGUGGCUCCCCUCGGGGAGUGUUAUAGCCCGCUGUGUAAUGCCGCCAGCCCCGAUCGAGGUCCGCGGUUCGCCUAGGAUGCUGGCUUAAUGGUUGCAAGCGACCCGUCUUGAAACACGGACCAAGGAGUCUAACAUCUAUGCGAGUCUUUGGGUGUCAAACCCAUGGGCGAAAUGAAAGUGAACGGAGGUGGGAGUCCUCGGAUGCACCAUCGACCGAUCCUGAUGUUCUCGGAUGGAUUUGAGUAGGAGCAUAGCUGUUGGGACCCGAAAGAUGGUGAACUAUGCCUGAAUAGGGUGAAGCCAGAGGAAACUCUGGUGGAGGCUCGCAGCGGUUCUGACGUGCAAAUCGAUCGUCAAAUUUGGGUAUAGGGGCGAAAGACUAAUCG
RNAcentral lists this ribosomal RNA (1489 nucleotides) under Orbilia anigozanthi. Its description in RNAcentral is "eukaryotic LSU rRNA". The stretch from base 573 to 1489 matches the Rfam family "Eukaryotic large subunit ribosomal RNA", at positions 1 to 937 of the family's 3401-position model. Lineage: Eukaryota; Fungi; Ascomycota; Orbiliomycetes; Orbiliales; Orbiliaceae. The record is from RNAcentral.